CACUGCUAUCGGGGUUCGAUUAAGCCAUGCGAGUCGAGAGGGUUCAGACCCUCGGCGCACUGCUCAGUAACACGUGGAUAACCUACCCUGAGGAGGGGGAUAACCCCGGGAAACUGGGGAUAAUACCUCAUAGGUUUCAGAUGCUGGAAUGCUCUGAAACCGAAAUGCUCCGGCGCCUCAGGAUGGAUCUGCGGCCGAUUAGGUUGUUGUUGGGGUAACGGCCCAACAAGCCCGUCAUCGGUACGGGUUGUGAGAGCAAGAGCCCGGAGAUGGAUUCUGAGACACCAAUCCAGGCCCUACGGGGCGCAGCAGGCGCGAAACCUUUACAAUGCGAGCAAUCGUGAUAAGGGAACCCCGAGUGCCUGAAACCAGGCUGUUCAGGUGUUUAAAAAGCACCUGGAGAAAGGGCCGGGCAAGACCGGUGCCAGCCGCCGCGGUAAUACCGGCGGCUCGAGUGGUGGCCGCU
This 466-nucleotide ribosomal RNA is filed under the name uncultured archaeon. Its description in RNAcentral is "bacterial SSU rRNA". It matches the Rfam family "Archaeal small subunit ribosomal RNA", at positions 25 to 499 of the family's 1478-position model. The record is from RNAcentral.